This 225-nucleotide ribosomal RNA is filed under the name Triticum aestivum (bread wheat). RNAcentral's name for it is "partial small subunit ribosomal RNA". Lineage: Eukaryota; Viridiplantae; Streptophyta; Magnoliopsida; Poales; Poaceae. The record is from RNAcentral.
CUGGAAGCUUACUGCAAUGCUUCAGGUCAGAGAAUUAACUAUAAUAAAUCUUCAAUCUUUUUUAGCAAAGGUGUUCCAGAAAACACACGUUUGGAGAUAAAAACAAUGUUGAAUGUUCCAAACGAGACUUUGAAUGAAAAAUACCUUGGCAUGCCGUCUGACAUUGGUUCUUCAAAGAAUGGGGCUUUCAAAUAUCUCAAAGAUCGACUUUGGAGCAAGGUGUAA